Lutra lutra (Eurasian river otter) is the source of this 754-nucleotide long non-coding RNA. RefSeq lists it as uncharacterized. The record is from RefSeq and is a predicted model, not a curated record. NCBI's taxonomy places the organism in Eukaryota, Metazoa, Chordata, Mammalia, Carnivora, Mustelidae. The transcript has 3 exons.
CGGUCUGACGUCCGGCGGUGCUGCUGGUACCUGGGCAGCAGCGGGCAGGGCCUUGGAACUCGUCCCAUGGUCGUUUUUCCCUUGGUUUCCAGUACUUGAUGGCCACAGUGGGAGUUGUGGCUGGAAAGGGGCCGCGUGGCGUUUUCUUCCCACCUUGCCCCUCCGCCGUGCUCCGUUAAAGUGUCUCCGCACCCUCGGUCACCCCCUGUACCGCGCCCCCCUUCCUCAAAUGAGGCCGCUUCCGGGGCUCCAGGUUUCCCCAGAAGUUUUUUAUUGCACUAGGUCAUUCCUGUAGCAUACAUGCUCUAAGAGGAGAUGUCACUACUGACCCAGUGGAUAUUGAAAGAGAUACAGCUAUAUACUCAUAAACUCAAAAGCUCAGAUGAACUAGACCACUAUCAAAGCUAUCAAAAUGUACCCAAGAAGGAACAGAUAAGCUGAAUAGUACUGUGACUGUGUGUUUUCUUCUUCAUCAUGAUCUUAAGGAACCCAUAUCGACUCGAGUAGGGAAGAAGGUAUGUUGAUUACCUUGUUAAGGUUUUUCUGUUUAUAAAUUAGAUAAUUUAGAAAAAAUUCAUUAAAACUCCUCCAUAAUUUCUGUUUAUUAACAAAGUUCAUUGAGAAUACUCACUAUGUACCAGGCAUAAUGGUAACCAUGGUAUAGUCCCUUCAGCUGAGCAACUUUUAAAAAAAUUUUUUAAUUUUUAAAAUUAACAUAUAAUGUAUUAUUAGCCCCAGGGGUACAGGUCUGUGA